ACGGAGGGUGCGAGCGUUAAUCGGAAUUACUGGGCGUAAAGCGUGCGCAGGCGGUUCGCUAAGUCAGGUGUGAAAGCCCCGGGCUUAACCUGGGAAUUGCGUUUGAGACUGGCGGGCUAGAGUACGGUAGAGGGGGGUAGAAUUCCAGGUGUAGCGGUGAAAUGCAUAGAGAUCUGGAGGAAUACCGGUGGCGAAGGCAGCCCCCUGGGCCGAUACUGACGCUCA
RNAcentral lists this ribosomal RNA (225 nucleotides) under uncultured prokaryote. Its description in RNAcentral is "partial 16S ribosomal RNA". It matches the Rfam family "Bacterial small subunit ribosomal RNA", at positions 525 to 749 of the family's 1533-position model. The record is from RNAcentral.